Molecule: long non-coding RNA, 464 nt
Filed under: Coffea arabica (coffee)
Lineage: Eukaryota; Viridiplantae; Streptophyta; Magnoliopsida; Gentianales; Rubiaceae
Description: long non-coding RNA (CARA_LNC008392)
Source: RNAcentral
GAUUUUUAUGGUAAAAACUUCAUAUUUUGUAGGUUUAAUGAUUCAAUCAUCAAUGAAGUAUAUUGAGAAGAUAUUUGGAGGAUUGAAGAUGGAUUAAAGUGGUGAAAAUAAAAUAUGAAGUGUAAAAGAAGAAAUGCAAUUUGAGGACAAAAAUCAAGAAAAGUCAGCUUUGACAACUCAGAUACAUUUUCGUAUUUUGACUAUAUCAGGAGCUACAAUGAUCGGAUCAAGGUGAUCUUGGUACCAUUUUGAAGCUAAGAGAUAUAUCUACAUUUGGUAUGAAGACAUCAAAGUCCAAUUCAGCCGUUUUCUUGGUCAAAAGGUCGAAACACAGAAACUUAUCUGGAUGGUCGAAAGCUGAAGCCCAGAAUUGACCAGUCUAUGGUAUUUUGACCAUAUCUCCGUCCACCGAUCUCCAAAUUAGAUGAUUCUUGAAGCAUUGGAACUCUAAUUCAAAGGGUUAC